RNAcentral lists this ribosomal RNA (490 nucleotides) under uncultured bacterium. RNAcentral's name for it is "partial 16S ribosomal RNA". It matches the Rfam family "Bacterial small subunit ribosomal RNA", at positions 29 to 505 of the family's 1533-position model. The record is from RNAcentral.
AGUGAACGCUGGCGGUAGGCCUAACACAUGCAAGUCGAACGGCAGCACAGUAAGAGCUUGCUCUUACGGGUGGCGAGUGGCGGACGGGUGAGGAAUACAUCGGAAUCUACUUUUUCGUGGGGGAUAACGUAGGGAAACUUACGCUAAUACCGCAUACGACCUACGGGUGAAAGCAGGGGAUCUUCGGACCUUGCGCGAUUGAAUGAGCCGAUGUCGGAUUAGCUAGUUGGCGGGGUAAAGGCCCACCAAGGCGACGAUCCGUAGCUGGUCUGAGAGGAUGAUCAGCCACACUGGAACUGAGACACGGUCCAGACUCCUACGGGAGGCAGCAGUGGGGAAUAUUGGACAAGGGGCGCAAGCCGGAUCCAGCCAUACCGCGUGGGUGAAGAAGGCCUUCGGGUUGUAAAGCCCUUUUGUUGGGAAAGAAAAGCAGCAGGUUAAUACCCCGCUGUUCUGACGGUACCCAAAGAAUAAGCACCGGCUAACUUCG